This 7230-nucleotide unclassified non-coding RNA is filed under the name Haliotis rufescens (red abalone). RNAcentral describes it as "uncharacterized LOC124126352, transcript variant X1". Lineage: Eukaryota; Metazoa; Mollusca; Gastropoda; Lepetellida; Haliotidae. The record is from RNAcentral.
AAUUAUCCCAUGAUGAUGAAGUUUUUAUGGAAGACAGGGAAGAAACAGCUGAUGUUGAGAAAACAGGAUUCAGAUGUGGUGUCUGUCAAAAGGUCAUAAAAAAGAAAGGGGGAUAUACUGUGCAUAUGCAAAUGCACUCAAAGGCGAAAGAUAAAUACAGGAAGCCAGAGCACAGAUGCCCAUUCUGCAAAAUUGGUCAAACGCAAUUAUCCAGACACAUAUCUAAACAGCAUCAGGACAUUCCUGAAGUUUCCGAGGCUAUGAAAUUUCCCAAAAACUCAAAAGAAAGAAAUGCAAUGUUUGAGAAUUUUAGAAAGCGUGGGAUCUAUGAAUUCAACAAAAACCAGUCGGGAGAAGAUACACCAGAAUUUGAAGCUGAGAGAAAAGGACAGAAAGAUCUUGUAUGCUGCUCUUUGUGUAAGGGAUUUUAUAGUCGGCGUCUCUACCAUAGACACAAGGACCUAUGCAUGAAGGAUAGCACAUUUGUCCCCAGUUCCGUGCCAGUUGAAAUGCUGCAUUUGAAGGAGAGUACAACAAAGGAGCAAGAUGUAUUUUCUAAAGAAGUAUUACUUCAUUUUCAUCCUGAUGAGGUCGGCAAAACAUGCCAAACUGAACCAACAAUAGUUGCUAUUGGAAGAAUUCUCUUUCAAAAAAACUUAAGAAAAAUUGAAAAGACGAUGGAAACAAGAAAAUCGGUGAUGAACGAUAUGCGUCUUUUGUCAAGAUUACUCAUUGCAUUCCGAGGCAAGUCACAUCAUGGCAUGACAGGGGAAGACAUGUUUCGUCGUCGAAACUUUACAAUAUUGGAGCAAGCAGUUGAGGAGGUGACCACCACUGAAGGGAGGCUCAAGUAUGGUUUAAAAAACUCAUUGUUCUAUCUCCUGAGACAAUCAGCCAAUCUUCUCAUGCUGCGUUCAUUUGGAGAAGAAGAGGAUGCCAAAGCAAGUGAAAUAGAAAAAUUUAUUCAUUUGCUAGAUUUAAACCAGAACAUUUUAUUUGGAGAUGCAGCUUAUUCAAUCAAUAGAAGUAGACAGGAAAGACUGAGAAUGCCAGAACAGCAAGCAAGAGAAGAGGAAGUCACCACCUUGAGGGUUCAUACUCUGAAUACAAUUGAGAGAUUGAUGUCAGAGUAUGAAUUCAUUGGGCGUAACGAAUAUGUUACUCUCCGAGAUGCUGUGUGCUGCAGAAUUACUCUGUUUAACGCACGACGGGGUGGUGAGCCAUCACGACUGAAAACUACAAAUUUGGAUGACGCAGUUACCAAGAGAUGGAUCGAUGACUCCAGAGUGGAACAGUUGGAGACCUGGGAGAAAAAGCUCUUCGGUGAAAUGCUUGUUGCAUACCAGGCUGGGAAAGGGAACCAUUUAGUUCCAGUCCUGAUCCCAAGAGACUGUGUCGGUGCCUUGUCCAUACUUACUGACAAAGACAAGAGGAAGGAAGUUGGGAUUCUGGAGGAAAAUCCUUAUGUAUUUCCAAACACACAACAGUCACCAUAUCAUGUGCUAGGUUGGGAUGCGAUAAGGAGUAUGUGUGAUGCAGCUGGUGUGAAGCAUCCAGAGUUGUUGACAGCAUCAAAACAACGACACAGGAUCAGUACCAUAUAUGCUUCACUUGAAGUUCCUACUUCUGACAGAGAAUACUUCUACAAACAUAUGGGACACAGCAAGGGUGUCAAUGAAGGGGUCUACCAGUACCCUCUCCCAAUUCAAGAAGUUACCAAAGUUGGGAAACACCUACUUCAAAUUGAUCAAGGUGAUGCUCCUCUGGCGACUGAGUCUGGGAUUCAAAGCCAACCUGACAUGGUUGCAAUAGCCGAGCAACAGGAAGAAGAUGCCCAUGACGUAAAUACAGGCUCUCUGUGUCUUACCAGUCCAGGUUUAGUGGAGAAAAACCCAAGAGAUUUUGAUACCAAAAGAUUCAAGUGGACAGAGGCAAAUACAAGACUGAUUAGAGACACAUUUAAGGAGUGGAUAUGUCUACCAAGUGGCAAUUCGUUGCCAAACAGGAAAACAGUUCUUGCAUACCUUCAGAGCUCAAAGCUUGACUGUUCAUAUGCUCAGCUUAGAACCAAAAUCAUGAAUGAACAGAACAAACAACAACAAAGGAGAAAGAAGAGAUGGAACGCAUUUCAGGAAAAUUAGAUAACUGAACAUUAAAAUACAGUGUAAUGCAUAUUUAGCUCUGUCAACACAUGGUAAACUUCUUCCCUUUAAUUGUCAGACUGAGUGACCUGGACUUUAGCACCUACAUGUAUGUAACUAUCCCUCUCAACUUGUGAGGGGUAUUAAGACCAUAACUAUCUUUCGGAAUACCCUGUGUGGUUUUUUUUUAGGUUGCACCAUCAAAAAUCACAUUUUAACUGUCACUUUCAUGAUCUGAUAAGCGAUGCUCUGAUUGGUCAGAUGAAAGGUCGUUCUGACAUGACCCACAAUGAGAUGUCCUCAGAUCUUUGUUUAGCAGUAGCGAGAACUAAGAUCUGAUUUUAAUGAGAUUGUUGCUAUGCUGGAUAGCCCUUUGGAAUGAUCUCGAAAUAUUUGCUGUGCAGACUAGCCCUUUGGAAUGUGCUUGAAAUACUUGCUAUGUAGAAUAGCCCUUUGGAAUGUGCUUGAAAUAUUUGUUGUGCAGACUAGCCCUUUGGAAUGUGCUUGAAAUACUUGCUGUGCAGACUAGCCCUUUGGAAUGUGCUUGAAAUACUUGCAAUGCAAGAUAUCCCUUUGGAAUGUGCUUGAAAUACUUGCUAUGUAGAAUAGCCCUUUGGAAUGUGCUUGAAAUAUUUGUUGUGCAGACUAGCCCUUUGGAAUGUGCUUGAAAUACUUGCUAUGUAGAAUAGCCCUUUGGAAUGUGCUUGAAAUAUUUGUUGUGCAGACUAGCCCUUUGGAAUGUGCUUGAAAUACUUGCUGUGCAGACUAGCCCUUUGGAAUGUGCUUGAAAUACUUGCAAUGCAAGAUAUCCCUUUGGAAUGUGCUUGAAAUACUUGCUACUUGCUGGUUGAAAUUUAGUACCAAGGUAAUUAUGGAAGCCCAUAUUCCUGUCUUAUUAAUUAUCCUUGUAUGUAUCAUUGUAUAUAUGUAUCAAUGUAUGUUUCAUUGUGUGUAUGUAUCAUCGACAUGGGUAAAAUGUGUGAAGCCCAUUUUUGGUGUCCCCUGCAGUGAUAUUGCUGGAAUGUUGCUUAAAGCGGCGUAAAAUCAUACUCACUCACUUACUCACUCACAUGUAUGUAUCAUGGUUUGUAUGUAUCAUUGUAUGUUUGUAUCAUUGAUCGUAAAUGAUGUUUCCCUCGUUUGAAGUAGUGAAUUAGAGGGAAACUACUUUCUCCUAGUGGUACGUUCUAUAAUCAAGGGAGGUAAUAAUGCCAGUAGAUGGCGCUGAUACUUGGGGCUAUAUAAGGGUAGGAUUUUAUGAUGUCGCCUCUCUCGCUUGCAAUCACGGCAGUUCAAUUAACAACAUGACUGAUGAAUCAACCGCGGCAAAACUAGAUGCCAUCUUGGUUCAGCUUAAUUCAAACAAGACAGAAAUUGAAUUGGCAAUCGAUUCCAAGUUAACCUCAAUACGAAAAGAGUUUCUGCAGACAUCUGAAGACGUAAGAAACAUAAAAGCCGAAAAAGAAUACAGCUGGUCACGGGAGGGAAACAAGGUCAAGAGCCAGGUCCACGACUUUCACUACACAGCCUGUGCAGUUUGCUUUACCUGCUUCUUCUGGUGUGCAGUCGAUUCCACCAAUCAACAACCAGCUUUUUCGAGGCAAAGGUCAGCGACAAGGAUCAUGUUUUCACUGCGGAGAAUUCACGCACUUCAGAAGAGACUGUCCCUAUCUCAACGCAAAUGUCCAGACUGCAAGGAUGUCAAGCAGCGUCCCGUCAGCAACCGCCACGCAGUAGAGAGGGCACAUGCCAAGGUCUAUCAGCUAAGUGUUCAUCUACACAAUGUUUCGAUGCAUGUAAUCUUAAAUUGACUGAUAAUUACUUUGAAUAUGAGCAGGGUGCUGCAGAAAUUGUCGUUAAAGUUUGUUUGAAACAGAAUGAAAACUUUUGGCAACAGAUAGGUGCAAGUGACUUUGUUUUAGAUAUAAUCAAAAAUGGAUACAAAAUUCCAUUUUUGUGUAUGUCACCCAAAAUGCACUUGCAUAAUAACAAGUGUGCCUUAAAUAACGCUGAUUUUGUGUGUGAAGCUGUAUAAGAGCUUGAAGCUGUAUAAGAGCUUGUCAAGAAACAACUAGUUGUUGAGUGUGAUAUCCUGCCGUAUGUUGUUAAUCCUCUAUCUGUCGCUAUACAGUCAUCGGGUAAGAAACGCUUGAUUUUAGACCUGAGUAUCGUCAACAGGUUUGUGCUCAAAAAGACUUUGAAAUUUGAAGAUUGGAAAACUGCUUUAGAAUAAAUCAGUGCAAAUGAUUGGCUAAUCAAGUUUGACAUCCAUUCAGCAUAUCAUCAUAUAGAUAUCUACGGAGGGCAUACUGACUUUUUGGGCUUUGCUUGGAAUGCCCCUGAUGGAAAAACACAUUUUUAUAAGUUUGUAGUACUUCCCUUUGGACUGACAACAGCUCCAUACGUUUUUACAAAAGUCACUCGCCAGCUUGUCAAGAAGUGGCGUUUUGAAGGACAUAAGAUAGUCACAUACUUGGAUGAUGGUAUAUUAUCAGCAGAGUCAGAAUUAAGAGCACUAAAUUCAGGUUCUGUCAUUAAAAAUGACUUGAUUAAGUCGGGGUUUGUACCUAAAGUUGACAAAUCUUUAUGGGCACCUUCACAGUCCUUGGAAUGGCUCGGUUUUCACAUUCAGACUACAAAUAUGACUAUAUCUGUACCUCACAGGAAGAUAGUCAAGGUGAAGUGUUCAAUUACUGACCUAUUAAAAUCCAAUUCAAAGAAUGUCAAAGUGCGAGAUGUAGCUUCUGUUGUCGGUCAGCUAGUGUCCAUGAAACUGGUCCUGGGGCCGUUAUCACAGCUUAUGACAAGGUCAUUAAGCAUAGACAUACUUUUGGUUUCUUCUUGGCAUAGUUCAUUAAAACUUUCAUGUGACAGUAUUCAUCAAUUGAAAUUUUGGCUGGGUAAUAUUGACAAACAUUCUUCAAGAGCACUUGUUGAAAAAUCUCUUACUACAAGACUUGUUUAUUCUGAUGCCAGUGAUAGUGGUUUUGGUGGGUACUGUGUUGAGAUUGAUUCUGACAAGUCCCAUGGUCAGUGGUCUGCGGAAGAAGCUCGUCAGAGUUCUACAUGGAGGGAGUUAAAGGCUGUUCACUUGACAUUACUGAGCUUUAUUCCCAACCUGAAGAGCAACCGUGUUAUGUGGUGUACAGACAAUACAAACAUUGUGUCAGUCAUUGAGAAAGGCAGCAUGAAAAUACAUUUGCAAACAUUGACUUUACAUAUAUUUGAAAUAUGUACAAAACAGUCAAUACAGUUGUACAUGCAGUGGAUUCCACGAUGUGAUAAUCAGACAGCUGACUAUCUUAGCAGAAUGAUUGAUUAUGAUGACUGGGGUAUUUCAAAGACCAUAUUUCAGCAAAUUGAACAGAAAUGGGGUCCACAUCAAACAGACAGAUUUGCGUCAUAUUAUAACACUAAACUUCAGUGUUUUAAUUCCAGGUACAGCAAUCCUGGAAGUGACGUUGUGGACUGUUUCACUGUCAACUGGAGUGGAGUUAGGAAUUGGGUGGUUCCUCCUGUAUGUUUGAUUCCGAGGGCAAUCAAACACAUGUCAGAAUGUAAGGCUAAGGGUACCCUUGUGAUACCAGAGUGGCACUCUGCUUGUUUCUGGCCAUUGAUAUGUCCCAACUCAGUAUUCAUUCCACAGGUGAGAGAUUGGAUGUAUUUGCCACGAUCGAAGGAGGCUUAUGUUGCCAGUAGAAUAAAGGGUGGCAUGUUUGGAGAGAAAGAUCUUUCAUUUAACAUGUUAGCGCUUAAGAUUGAUUAAGACCGUAUUUUGGGUGUUUCAGAUAUAUUUCGGACAAACUAUAGUGAUGAGAUUGCUACACUUCCGAGAGGUGUCCGCGAAUUAGCAGCGGCUCUGCCAGGCCUCUUAGCAGGGUGUAGAGCUGAUUCUACAACAAGAAAGUAUACAUAUGGCUUUGGAGCUUGGAAAAGGUGGGCGAUCGUCAAUUCUAUGUCUGUAAAAUUGCCAUUGUCGUCAUUGUACUGUGCUUUAUACCUGUUAUCUGUAAUUCAGCAGAGUGAUUCUAUAUCUCCUGUUCAGACAGCGUUCUAUAGCAUCCGUCAUGCUCAUACUUGUAUUGGUUUAGCAAGUCCAACUGAUAAUUCACUGGUGCGUAAUGUCUUGGAGGCAGCAAGGCGAAAAUUGGCUAAGGAUGUAUGUAAGAAGGAGCCAAUUACCAUUAGCCGGCUAGAAAAGUUGUAUGAUGGUAGAAUGGCAGAUCCAUCACUGUAUGAUUUGAGAAUUAUGUCAAUGUGCUUAUUAGCCUUUGCUGGGUUUUUAAGGUCAGCAGAAUUGUUGCAGAUCACGAGAUCAGACAUUGUAUUUUAUGAUGCUCAUAUGAUGGUAUUCAUUGAGCAGUCUAAGACUGAUGUCUACAGAGAUGGGGCGUGGCUGGCUAUUGGGCGGACAAACACCAAGCUUUGUCCAGUGGCAUUUCGUUUUGAGAUGUGGACGUGUGGCGGUGAGGCCACAUUCUGUUAUGGUCAUCUGUCUCUGUUGACAGGCCAUGUGUGUUGAUGAUGCUGGAGAGCUGUUAAAAUACUCAUUGGUAUAAUCGUGUUUACUACCACAUGUGAAUUGUGGCUGCAGAGCCUUUAGAAUACUUUGUAUAUAUGUUUGCAUUUCAUUGGCUACACAAUGUACGGUAGGCUGCAGAGCCAUUAGAAUACUUGGUCUUGGAAAUGUUCGGUUGGCAGAACCAUUAUAAUACUGCUGUAUUGGGUGUGUGUGACCCAUGUUAGAUGAGUAAAAUAAGGCUUUUGUGUAUAAUUUGUAUUUGUAAAAGUAUGUUGGACAUGUGUAAAGGGUAAUUCAAAUACUGUAUACUCCCCAGUUACUGGUCCUGUUGCAUUCGUAGGGAGAACACGGUUCCAGAGCUUUUUGUAUUAACAAAAUUUUUAUCUCUGGUUUUACGUGUCGGGCUUCAGGUACCAUUGCCAUUUGUAUGUUUCGAUAUGUUAUAUUCUAUAUGUUAUAACACAUGUUAUAAUGGUAUAUUGAGUGACGUGAUGUCACUGUGUGUUGUGUCUUGCGUCUUGUGCUUCGAAAAUAAACUGCCGUGUACCGCACAGCUGUUCCAGUGUA